RNAcentral lists this transfer RNA (85 nucleotides) under Felis catus (domestic cat). It matches the Rfam family "tRNA". From Rfam's summary of the family: Transfer RNA (tRNA) molecules are approximately 80 nucleotides in length. Their secondary structure includes four short double-helical elements and three loops (D, anti-codon, and T loops). Lineage: Eukaryota; Metazoa; Chordata; Mammalia; Carnivora; Felidae. RNAcentral also lists the same sequence under 1 other name. The record is from Rfam by way of RNAcentral.
GCCUGGGUGGCUCAGUCGGUUGAGCGUCCGACUUCGGCUCAGGUCAUGAUCUCACAGUCUGUGGGUUCAAGCCCCGCAUCAGGCU